Molecule: unclassified non-coding RNA, 217 nt
Filed under: Hevea brasiliensis (rubber tree)
Lineage: Eukaryota; Viridiplantae; Streptophyta; Magnoliopsida; Malpighiales; Euphorbiaceae
Source: RNAcentral
AACAAACAAAAUCAGUGUAUAUUAAUAAAAAGAUUACCAGUUAAUUAACAAUGAAGCGGGCAAAUUUUCUCCACCAAAUUAAUUAAUGUUGGAGAUGAUCAUCAUCAUAAUCAUCAUCACAUCACACGGAGAAGAAAAUUCAUCGACUUCAUCACCACUUGAGGAGGUAAUCUAGCUGUCUUUCUUUAUUAGUAAUCUGCUCAUCAUCUUCCAGCAG